Molecule: long non-coding RNA, 2076 nt
Organism: Homo sapiens (human)
Lineage: Eukaryota; Metazoa; Chordata; Mammalia; Primates; Hominidae
Product: long intergenic non-protein coding RNA 1511
Source: Ensembl
GCUGCUCAGUGUUUGUGUCUGUGCUGCGUUUGUGAGCUGCAACGCUCACGGUAAAGGUCUACAGCUUCACUCCCGAAGCCAGCGAGACUGUAAAUCCACUGGGAGGGGCAAAGAACUCUGGACGUGCUGCAUUUUUAGGAGCUGUGACACUCACCGCGGAGGUUUGCAGUUUCACUCCUGAAAUCAGUGUAGACCACGAACGCACCAGAAGGAACAAACUCCAGACACACCGUUUUUAGGUAACCGUAACAUGUACCGCGAGGGUCUGCGGCUUCAUUCUUGAAGACGAGACUAAGAACCCACCAACUUCUGGACACAAAACCACCCCAAAAAGUGAGUUUCUAAAGGAGAAGCUAAAAAUAAAGACCACGAAAGUGUUGCCCAUGGUGAUAGCUCCAGACGUCCGGAGACGGUGUUCAGCGCUGCUGCAGGAGAGGUUGGCAAAACUCCACAAGGUCACCAGCACACCUUGAUGGGGAGGCUGCAGGGAAACACACAACCUCAUGCUUUGCUGCUGGGAUGCAAACAGCACAGCCCCUGCGGGAAGAAGCUCAGAGAUGCCCGGAAAGACCUGUGUGCAUUCACAACUGCAUCCUUCAAUUCCACUUCUAAGCAGCUACCUUAAAGUCACAAAAUAUCAGAAAAUGGAUGUUCAAGGUCAUUCAACGUAACCCUGCUUUUAAUACCUACAGACUUUUUUUUUAACCAAAGGAUAUAUCCUGGCAAAAUAUAUUAUGUAUAUAUAUAACUAAAUGGAACCUCUGAGAUGAAAAAUACCUUUGAAAUGAAAAAUUCAUAAUAUGAGCUUAGCAGCAGUUUGAAAACUGCAGAAAAAUACCAGUGAACUUGAAUACAAGCAUUAGAAAGUAUUCAAACCUAAGCACGGAGACGGGAGAAAAGUUUCAACAUAAACAGAACCUCACUGACAUUGAAACAGCAUCAAGCAGCUCAUAUACAUAUAACUGGAGUCCCAAAAGGAAGAGGCAGGCAGAGAAAUAUUUGAAGAAACCUUCACUGCAACAUUUUCAGACUUGAAUCUCACAGAUUGAUAAGCUCAGUAAGCCCCAAGCAGGACAGACAAGGCAAAAGCGCCAGACAAAUACACACAAAACACAAAGAAACACAGAAGAACAGCUGCCAAUCUGUCAUCAGAAGCAAUGCAAGUCAGAAGACAGUGGACUGAACGAUGUGAUUUAACAUGACAGAAGAAAAAGUGCCCAUCAACCUAGAGAAUUAGUGAAAAUAUCUUUCAAAAAACGAGGGCAAAUUAAGGAUAUUUCCAUACAAAUGACAAUUGGUAGAAUCCAUUUUCAGUAGAUCUGCAUAACACAAAAUGCUAAAGGAAGUUAUUGAGGCUAAAGGGUAUAUAUCAGCUGUAUUUCACGUGACAGUGAAAUGUAUGACAAUAAAGAAAGGAAUAGAACAGAAAUGGAACGUUACUGUUUAAAGUCAUUAAAAUCCACAUGAAGGGUUAUAAUAUCUGGAAGUAGACUAGCUUAAGUUUAAGCUGCAAAUUGACAAUUGUAGAAAAAAACACUGAACAAGUAAAGCAAAAAGAUCUAGCUGAAAAGCCAAUAAGAAGACAUAUUUGAAUCCAAAAAAGAUAAAUUUAUAAUUCUAAAAGCAGGAAGAAAAAAGAGGAAAAAGAACAAAGAAUGAAUAGGACAAAUAAGAAAACAUUGAUAAUUAAAUUUAAAUGAUGUAACACUCUAAUUAAAUGGCAGAGAUUGUUGAUUGAAAUACAGAACUAACUCUAAGCCGCCUACAAGAAACCCGUUUUAAAUAUAAAUACACAGAUAGGUUAAGGCCAAGCAUGGUGGCUCAUGCCUGUAAUCUCAGCACUUUGGGAGGCUGAGGUGGGAGGAUUGCUUGAGUCCAGGAGUUCAAGACCAGCCUGGGAAACAGGGUGGAACUCCAUCUCUAUAAGAAAUACAAAUAUUGCCUGGGUGUGGUGGUGAACCCCUGUGGUCCCAGCUACUUGGGAGGCUGAGGUGGGAGGAUUGCUUGAGCCUGGGAGGGUGACGCUGCAGUGAGCCAAGAUGGCACCACUGCACUCCAGUCCAGCCUGGGUGAUAG